RNAcentral lists this ribosomal RNA (255 nucleotides) under uncultured bacterium. RNAcentral's name for it is "partial 16S ribosomal RNA". It matches the Rfam family "Bacterial small subunit ribosomal RNA", at positions 524 to 776 of the family's 1533-position model. The record is from RNAcentral.
UACGUAGGGUGCGAGCGUUGUCCGGAUUUAUUGGGCGUAAAGGGCUCGUAGGCGGCGUGUCGCGUCGGGAGUGAAAGCCCGUUGCUUAACGGCGGGUUGGCUUUCGGUACGGGCAUGCUGGAGUGCGGCAGGGGAGACUGGAAUUCCUGGUGUAGCGGUGGAAUGCGCAGAUAUCAGGAGGAACACCGGUGGCGAAGGCGGGGUCUCUGGGCCGUUACUGACGCUGGAGGAGCGAAAGCGUGGGGAGCGAACAGG